UUAUGAUCUCUGCAGCCGUGCCUCUGUUGACAGAUCCGUCCGGAUUCUCUGCCUGGAAACAUCAGAAACUAAUCGGAACCGCCGUCAGACGCAGACGGACGGAGCUCCAGAGAUGUCGCUGUUGCUGUGGUGAAGCCCCUGGCUGCAGGCCUUGGAAACCCCGGCACCCACAGCCUUCUGCGUACUGACCGACAGGUCGGAGCUGCUGGGCUGAAAACUGAUAAUGGGAGGAGAUCAGAGUCAUCAGAAGGAGGCUGAGGAGAGAAGAGGAGAAGCUGAAGAACAUCAAGAACCAGACCAAACAAAGGCUCCAGCUGCUGAAGAGACUCCGGUUGAGUUGCCCCAGUGCAGAAUGGGAAGCAGAAAGGUGGACGACAUGUGUUUCAUGAUCUCAUGCACCAACUGGUAUUGAUCCACUGGACACUGGGACUGCUGGGAGCUGGUGGAUGCCGUGUUCAUGCUUUUCAUGCAUCAAAUUGGCUGCAUUGCUCCUCCUCUGUUGUAGUUUUAACUGAUUAUUUCUCAUCAAAAUCAGAUAAAUGUUACAGAAAUCUAACAACAGGAAGUAAAUCUGUCAUUUCUCAGUAUCAUUCUGUAUCAAAAAGCCAAGAAGCUGCUGUAGGCUGAAGACAGGGACUGAACAUGAGUCCAACCUGUCAGAAAAAUGUUUGCUGUUGGUUUGCAGUGGAGAGCGGCUGCUUGGAAGUAGAUUUAUGGACUUUUCUCCUCCUAAAAACCCUCAUUAUCAAAGUGGAACUAAAAUCCAUCAUAGAUUGAUUUCUCCACCUUCGCACUUCACUGCACACCUCUUCUCCUGCAAACUCAGGCGGAAAGAAGAAUGAUACAUUUGCAACAAAGCUCUGAUGACUGAAGGUUUUGAGACUUCUGACAUGAAACAUUCCUGGUUUGGCAACAUCGUUUUUUUUUUCCUCUGAAGGCUUCAGUUUCUCUACAGCUUCAACAGAAAUGAUGAACUGAUCAAUGGAAGGUGAUUGAACUGUAUGAGCAGAUUUAUGAGAGUAAUUGUUGCAGAAUAAGAUGAAAACUAAAAGAUAAUAAAUCAUUUCUGAGUUUUUGGGGAUCAGCUCAGAUUUUUGUCUGUCAUCUACUGUUGGAGAAUGUUUGAAAAUAAGCAGCAGCAUGGAGACCAAGGAGCCCAGCAGACAGAGGAAGUUCUGGUUCAGUAUAAAGCAGAGUUUGAUUCUAGAACAAUAUUGCAAUAUUUUUCAGACUCUCUUUAAUGCAUCCUUCUAACAUAGAGAAAGGAUGGACACCCACCUUAUCUGACAGCAGAACGUUAAACAGGGAAACAAUUGGAGAAGCUCCAGAGAAUAUGUAGACAGGAAAAAUAUGAGUCAGUAUUUUCUCUAGUCCUGUAGGUGACAUAGCAAAUGAGGAAUAAGGUGUCUGAUCAUCGGAGACCAGUACAGAACCUUUGGGUCUCAUGGAGUUAACUCUGCAGAUCGCUCGGAACACGCCAUCCCUAUGGUGAAGCACGGUAGUGGCAGCAUCAUGCCAAGGGAUGCUUUUCUUAAUUAGAGGCUGAGGAGCUUGAGUUAACAGCAGGACAGUCUGGGAGGAAAAGCUUUCAG
Molecule: long non-coding RNA, 1592 nt
Organism: Cyprinodon variegatus (sheepshead minnow)
Lineage: Eukaryota; Metazoa; Chordata; Actinopteri; Cyprinodontiformes; Cyprinodontidae
Exons: 4
Source: RefSeq, a predicted model, not a curated record